RNA transcript from Dermacentor andersoni, 13546 nucleotides. It is a transcript of the gene named transmembrane protein KIAA1109 homolog tweek, with no coding region annotated. The record is from RefSeq and is a predicted model, not a curated record. Lineage: Eukaryota; Metazoa; Arthropoda; Arachnida; Ixodida; Ixodidae.
CUUCCCUAAGUUUGUAUAGGUGUUCUGCUGAGUUCCCUUCUAUAAUGUUGGUUUUUAUGUGUACUCCUACGGACUGUUGGUGUUGUCGCUUAUUCGAUGCACAAAAGUGACGUGAUGAGACAACUUCUAUCAAUUUUAGUUCCCUAUUCUAUGGUUCUCAUGCUUUAGCAUGCAGUACAAGAUCUGACGUUGUUGGAUGCAGCAGCAGAAACAAGCGUGUCUGUGUGUUUUAACAUACAUGCCAUGAACACUUCAGAAACGGUGCCAGAAGUGGCUGCAUACCCUGCCGCAUGGAACACUACAGCCCCUUUGGAGAAACUGCCUCUGGACUCCAACUUUGCUUGGCUGCUGUGUGCACUGCUCGCAGCCACCGCAUGGGUUAUCUACAUCACAUUCUACAAUGCCCGUGUUUUGGGCUUCCUGCUCACCAAAAUCCUCAACCGUUUUGUGGGGAAAGCAUAUCUCAAAAUUGGAUCUGUGUCUCUCUCGGUGCUCUCGGGGAAGCUGAUGUUCCGAGAUGUCGCAUAUGUCACCCCAGAUUACACCAUACGCGCUCAGGAUGGCUGGGUGAUUUUUCGCUGGUGGAUUCCAUAUGUCAGAAAGGAAUUUCCUCGCACAUGUGCCGAUGCAGAGGCUCGUGUGUUUGUGCUCCUAAAUGGCCUGGAGCUGCACAUUUAUAACCGGUCCCAGCUGUAUGCACACUUGGAGCAACUGUUUGGCCUGGAACCCACUGUGCUGCCCAGCAGUCAUGAGCAACUCAAGCCUGAAGAGCCAAAUAAUGCAGUGGAAGAUCAUCCUUGGCGAGACCUUGUCCCGGUUGUUAAGCUGGAAGUAUCAACUGGCCGCUUGGUAUUUGGAAAUCGUCUUCUCCCGACGACGAUUUCAAUUCGUUUUGAAGAAGGCCAUGCUACGUACAAGACAAGAGCUGCUGCAUCCAGGAUUGACUUGUUUCAGCACACACUUGAUUGCCGGCUUGACAGUUUCAAGGUUAUGUUGGCUCCCAGCCCAAAGUACAUAGGUGUACCUGAUGAACCACCACGCUUCAUGGGUGAAGGCUUUGUUGUGCUCCAGUCAAACAGGGUUCAUCUGUUCUACUAUCAAGAUGAAGCAGGAUUGGUUCCAGCUGAGCAGGAAGUGGUGCAGCUAGCUAAUGGCGACCUGGUGGAACGGCGCAGUGCUCCAACAUGGGGCCUGGAUGCCAAGUGUGGACGAGGCACCAGUUUCAGCUAUGGCCCAUGGGCAGACCGUCAGCGGGACAAGCUGAUGCAGUUCUUCUUCCCACAAGACUACCAGCCUUUAAAGCCCACGCCUCAGCCUCAAGUGGGUGAGAGGCGGUGUGCACAGUCAUUUGAUCUGCGCCUCAGCACCACAGCUGAUGCUACCUUGGAUCUACUGUUCUCCAAGGAAAAGGAGACCAAUGCUGUGCACAUGACGGUAAAGCAAGGCUCGUACUUGGAGCUGACCCUGCCUUGGCAAGUGAUUGAGGAAGGCUACACUACUCGAGUGACUGGUCAGCUUUUUCACUUGGAAGCCUCAACCAGUCUGCCUUUCAGAAAUUUACUGGAGAGCGAGAUUCUUGGUUUUGAUGUACAAGGCAAGUACCCACUUAUCUGGAAUGGCCAUCAAGAUUGGCAGUGCAGCUUGGCUGGCUGCCGCAGCUCACUCACAUUGCUGCACACACACAAGGGCUUCUUUCAAGCCUUGGUGGAAGACUGGGCAAGUAAGGCUCGGCCAGAUAUUCUUCGCUUUGUCCCCUACACCUGGCACCUCAACAUUGUGUUGACUGAAUUUGAGCUCAUUACACUGGCCAACGAGUACAACUGGGUUGACUGUGCUCAUCAGGAAAAUGCCCGGGUGGCCUUCUGUGGUGAGGUCUUCGACUUGUCAUUUGACCUUCCCUUUGUGGAUUUCCUGCCCCCUCAGCUUGGACUCAAGUUUUGGAUUCAGGCUGAAAGUGUUUCCAUGUUGGCCUCUCUACCUGAGGGGGAUCCCCAUCGUGAACUGCUCCUGCUGCUAGACCGUAGUGCCUUGGUUACUGACCGAAUGGGAGCUCCCAGACUACAGCCGCCUCCAGACAAGAAAUGGCACUUUGUAGCCCAGCCCAGCAAGGGAUGGGUGGAAGUCGUCUCAGUGCCCAUAGUGGCACUCAGCCUGCAGUAUACCUACCACCCCAUUCCUCCAUUGGACUUUGCACACCCACUGGAUUUCGAUGUGACAACACCUGAAAAGGAAGAGCUGCUGCUUUCACCAAUCCGUCCGCCCAAAAAGCGUGCAGUACUGGUAGCCCCAGAUGACUUUGAUCCAGGUUCCAUGGUGCCCGAUGUUCUUUCACUGGAGCUCGAGAUUGGACCUUCGGUCCUGUCAUUAGAAGGCGUGGUGCUGCACUUGUUGAUGCAGCUGAAGGAAAACUACUUUGGGGCCUGUCAGGACUACGUUGACAUGGAGGCUGAUGCACCUACUACAGCUGUGAGGCUGCCUGAAGGAGAUUUCGAUCCGCGCUGCUUCAGGCCUCUUGAUGUGCGUGCAACGCUUAUCAUGCAUGACAUGCAAGGCCAUCUCAUGAAGGGCUGCAGUGAGCAGGAGCCUCCGUGCCCAUCCCUGUACCUGGAGCGCCUUCAGCUGGAAGUCUGCAAAAGCCAUCGCGAGAGCCAGCUGCAGCUUUUGCUCUCACCACUGGUGGCUGUCUGCCCGGGAGACAGGUCACAGGGACACCUCGCCCUGUCUUCGUUUCAAGUACGUGCACAAGCGUUGUUCUCGGGAGCAGAACGUCCCCUUGGCAGUGAGACUCUAGAGUAUGCCUGGCUGGUGGAACUUCAAGCAGGAGAUAUUACUGGACGGCUCACUGUUCCUCAGUUGUAUGACCUGGUUGCUGGAGCAGAGCUAUUCGUGCAGCAGGCACAGCACAGCAGUGCAGCGUUGGUGCCCCCCCAAGGCCGCAUUCACUGUCGGCAUGACCAACCUCAGAAUGAGUGCUCUCAUGCUGAGUCUGGCUGUCCGUGCCCUGUAUCAGAUGACCUCAAAUACCGCAUGACAAGGUUAUCCCUGGACUAUGUUGACGUCUGCUUGGAAGAGGCCAGCUCAGUUGUCUGCUUUGAGCUAGGACCACUAAAGCUCACCCAAUGCAACUUACACUCGGACCAGACAACUUCAGGACUAAGUUUACAGCUGCGAGCUGUAAAUGUAGCACAGUUCCUGCUGUCUCAUGAUGGGCCUUGGCUCCAGACUGGCAAGCUGGAGUUUGGGCCUCUUGUGAUGGACAACUGGGCACAGGGGCUGCUGCCUCAAAAUAGCCAGGAGGGCUUCCUUCGAGCACAUGACAAAACAACACACCGGCUUUGGUUCCUGUGGGGAGACAACCGUGCUGGAGGUCGCUGUGGCUGUCUAGGCGGUUGCUUCUUCUUUGGCUCUGAUGAUGCGACAGAUAGCUCACCUGCGGGUGAUGCCGGGCAGGGAGAAGAAGAAUCACGCCACUCUGUGUUCCGCCAGCACAGCAGCCCAGCACAUCGCCAGCCAGCUGCCGUUAGCUUUGCCCGUUCCGCUUCGGCAUGUGACGGGCCUGACAGCCGUUCCCGAGAGGCAGCUGAUGAUGCGACUGAUCGUAGACGUAGCAAUGGCUCAGCUGUGCGGCGUGCGGUGUCAACAGACUCUACGCACUCCUCGGAAGCAUUCUUCUCUGCUGAUGAAGAUGGGGCUGCUGCUGGGCGUUUACAAGAUGACAGUGAUCAAAACUCGGACAGGAGGCGCCGGUCAUUUUGUGUGCGGGGCUCAUCUUCGGCCAGCUCCAGUCUUGACCGGAGACGCCAUGCCAAGGAGCAGGACCCUGAGGCUGACUCCAACUCUGUGUCAAGCACCUCUUUUCUCUCAGCUGUGUCAUCACAGGAGGAUGUUACCCUUGUGAACCUGCACCAUCAAAUGGAUCGUCCAAUAACCGAGUCUCCUCUGCUGAUGGCUUGUUAUGCAGCCCAUUUGUCACAGUACCAGGUGGCCAACUGGGAGGAGGCUGUGGCACCUCUGCCUCACUUGGUGACACGACCCACAGACGGGGCGCCUCCUUCAGCCUCCUGCUUUCUGCACACCAGCUCGUGCUGGAAACCUCGCUUCACACCUUGGGGCACCCGCGGCUUCUCUGAUGUGCACAUGGUGGCACGGGCACGGAGAGCUGCAUCCAUUGGAGCUGCUGGCAGCAGUGCUCGUCCAUCACACUUCCCCACCAAAAAUAAUGCAGAGCAGCAGCAGCAGUGGGCCCAGCCGCUAUCGUUGCGCAGUGCAGUGGUGGUGCGCCUGCAAGGAGAUGUACAACUGCUGGUGUCGCCACCCCUGCUGGAAGGAGUGCGAGGCUUUGCUGAGGCCCUGGUGCCUACACUGGCAGCCCUGCACCCGACCACCGUGCUGGGCCGGCUGAUGGCACAGUGCUGGAGGGCAGUCAAAGGCAGCACGCCCCCGACAGCUAGCCACCCAUCUCAGGGACCCUGCCCUUCCGAAGGGUACCAUGAGACGCACACAGAACAGGUGCAACUCUGGCUUCAUGUACCCCGUGUGAAUGUCAUGGCACUACAGUGUUCGGUUGUGGAAGAAUUGAUUGCAUUUUCUGCUCUAGACAAUCUCAAGGACUUGGCCUGUGUGUCUGUCUUGGCCCUCUGCUUAGACCAGGUGCAAGUGCAGAUGCUGCAGAGCCAACAGGCGCAACGGUGCCUACAAGUGCUGCCUGAGGCACAGGAGCAGAGCCCACCACUUGGCCGGCGCCGCGAAAAGCCACUGCUGCUUGAGACGAGCCUGCCGGGCCACCACCAGGGUGUGGCCACCAUCAGCCUGGGUGCAGCUCAUGCUCAACUGCGGCGCCUGCGCAACUGCAGCUCCUCGUUGCUCAAGGAGGCCACUGUGACGUGCGUGGCACCCCACCACAGCAAGGUGUGCUUCACAUUUGAAUGCCCUGACUGGGAGAAGGUGGAUGACAAGAUGGGCUUCAUCAUGACCGAGUGUGGCGUGGAAGGAGCUAGCUUGAAGCUGGUGGGCCAUGGUGGGCCACACAGCACCAACCUCGAGGCCCUGUACUCUGAAGGAGAGCCAUCCUGUGAUGCUUUGCUCCUACUUGAGAUCAAGACGGUCUGGUUCAACUUUGCCGCCCCUCCACGCACCACCAAUGCACACCGCACCGACUUCACCAGGUUGGACUGGCAUCUUCUGAGCACAAUGACCCCAUCCAUAAAUGCCUGGCUCAAGCCAUGUGACCGGCUCCUGGUGGCUUUACGCAAAGCUCAGCAGACAGAACAGCAGCGUCUUUGUUCAGUGCUUGCCUGGCUCAUGGCGGAGGCGAUGGAUGCACAGGGGGGACAUCUGCCACCUAGGGGAAAACAACUUUAUGGAAAGCUGACGCCUCUUGCUCGAGCACUUCAGGAGGAGCCAUCAUGCCAGUUGUUAUCGGCAUUGUGCCGUUUUCUGCCUGAGGCACCCAGCCCUGAGGAAUGCCUUGGCGCCCAGCAUGUGCCGCCACUGAGCACACUGCGACGUGGUCUCUUGGCACUCAGCCGCCAGUGGAAACACCUACUGUACAUGCCUCUGCUGGUUGAGCAGAACAGCCGGCUUCGUAAACGUACACGGCCGGAGCCACCAGCUCAGCUGCUGGGUGUGCCCUUGCGUGAGGAUGAGCCCCCAUGUGAUGAAACUGCUUGCCUGCUGGCCGAGGACGCGACGGGUGCUGCACAGGCGGCCAGGGAGACCAAGACAGCUCGCCCAGGAGCCUUCCCACUUCUGGGUGCACCUCUGGAUUCCCCGCUACACUAUGGUGGCAUGCUGUAUCUUGGAAAAACGCUGGAGCACGGCAUCUCAUGCAUGGUGGCCAACAGUGGUCGUCUGCGAGGCUCACACCACAGCCUGGCUACCUGGAGCUUUUCUAGCGUCGAACCCAUUCUGCGCUCCUCCCUGGACCCAGCAAACGACGAUGAGGACUUGUACAACUGGAUGGCACGUCAAAGGGGACCCUCAUCACCUAUCGAUUCACCCUCAAGUCGCAGUGCCCUGCGAGAUUCGGGUGUGCCCACCGGAGGAAUCCCUGAUGCCCAAACUGUCUUCGAGCCACUCCUGGAAGUGCUGGGAGCCUGUGCCCUCAGUUUGCAAACGCCAGGGCCACAAUUGGCUCUUUCAGCUGUUGCAGAACUUCUGCGCGUAGACCUUGUGGAAUCGGAGAGUCCCGAGCAGCCGCAGAGAAGACGUUCCAAGCCUGGCCAGCGGCUCUUUGUGGACACAAGCACGGACACACCGGCAUUGGUGUGCGACCGGCUGGCAUUGGAACUUGACAUGCGUCACCCAGGAAGCCCUGGCACCUGUGCUCACAUUGCAGUAGAUGUGCAGUAUGUGGCUCAGCAGGUGAACAUGCCAUUGCUGCGACUGUUGAACCAGUUCUCAAGCAUGUAUGAGAAUGUGAAGGAGACGCGGCUGGAGCUACAGUGCCGCCGACCUCGAGCUGACUCAGUGAUUGUGCAGCAGCAGCCAGGCCUUGGUGGCAGCCAGGAGUCGGUCACCCCUGCACAGGCAGGGCAAGGCACACCACGCUGCUGGAAAACCAUGUGUUUCCUGCUUGACCUGUACGAGACCAUGCCCCCUUCACAGGCCUUAGCUGACAGGUUCACAAUAUCUGUGGGAGCUGAGCACAAGAUUGAUGCCUCUGAAGGCUACAGAGGCAAUGGCAAGUACGAGCACCUGCAUGAGCAUCGUGUUGAUAUCGAGAAUGGGGAUGCUCAGGCCAGGCCAGGCCACAGAGAGAUGCCUUCGCGUCCAGCAGCUGCUGCUGCUGAACGUGUACCAUUGGCAGUGUUUGCAAUGGGCCAUGUGAAGAGAAUCCGGCUUCUGGCCAUGCUCAGUGGACUUAGACUUGAGGCAGAGCUGUCUGGACUGCAGGCUAGCGGCACACACAAGGAAACGCUUCGUGACGGAAGUCACCAGAGUGAGUCAUCUGCAACCGGUCGCCUUGGACCAGCGAGUGUGGUCCUGCUGGAGGGCCAGCCUCCAAACCACCAAAUGGUGGUUACCAUGGCUGUUGGUACAUCACAAGCGCUGGGCUGUAGUCGUGGCUGGGGUCCCACAGCACGGCAUGCAGCCCUGAUGUCGGUUGGGGCCGUGCACAUCGACAUACCGCAACACCCCGUGGUGCUUCACAGCAUGGUCACUCGCUCAAGCAAGCAGCUAUCCACCACUCUACAGGAACUACGCCGCAGUGCUCCGGGGCGCACAGCUCAGCGGCCACCCAUGGAAGAGAGAACCCUGCAGGGUGGCCCCAUGCCACCAGCAGUGAAUCCACGACCUGUGCCACCUGUCGUGAGGCUAGACCUGCUGUUGGAGGGAUUGACAACUGGAGCAGCACUCUUGCCUUCUCUGCGGGCACACUACCACAUGGGGCCCCUGACCGGCACCGGUUGCACGGGUGCCCAGGCUCGCUUUACGGUCCACUUGCCGCAACACUCGCUCAGUUUCAACACAAAGGUGCCCCCAGCGUGUGAAGCCAACCUUCCCUCGCGUGCCAGUGUGGAGCUGCCACCCGUGCAGGUGGCGGCCGAGUAUCUGCAAGACCCAGGUGGGCCCUCGCAGAGGGAUGCGGAUGGCGUAGUGCUGCGUCGGGGCUCCUACCUCAGCGCCCUCGCUGAGAUUGGCACGUUUGAGCACAGCCUCACCACCGACUUGCUCAACCACCUGGUGCUGGUGCAAAAGGUCUUUAUGAAGGAGGUGAACGAGGUUGUGCAGAAGAUGUCUGGCACACGACCACUGCGCCUUUGGGAGGGUGGUGGUGGCAGCAGCAGCAACAGUGCUCUGGGUGGAGGCCAGCUGCUAUUCUCUCUGCAGCUGCGACUGCGGGGCAUCCGGCUCACUGCCACGACCCCCACAGCUAGUGCUGUGCGCCUCGAGACAGGCACCCUGGACUUGCAGCUCUCCAACAGAGUGCAAAAUGCCUCGCGUGCGGUCACAGCCAUGAAACUCUUUGGGAAAGGCCAGGUGGACCUCAGCCUGGCUCUGGGCCAGCUGGUCAAGAACACAUUGUUUGAAGAGGCAGAAUUUCAGCAGUUUGCAUUCUUCAAGACUCGGAUAUGCUUACGCAAUGCUCUUCAAGAUGAAAUGAUCUCCAGCCAGUACGAUGACAAAGAGGCUGUUCUUAUCACAAUGAAUCGGCCCAUGAUUUACUUUCAACCUAUUGCUCUUGAUAAAGCUGUCCUUGUCUGGCUCAACUACAAGAAUGCUUAUGAAUACUGGAAUGAGCAGCGGGGAAGCCUAAAUAAGGAGGUACUGACAGCCACCCAACAGCUGUUCGAGCGGGUGCCACAGUUUCCUCAGCUGAGCAGCCAAGCACUGGGCACGCUAUUUCUCCAGCUGACAGUGCAAGACCUGGGCAUCUGCAUGCCACUGAACAAAGGGACACUAACGAACAGCAGGCUGUUUGAUGCUGAUGCCACUCCAGCAGUUGUGGUGACUCUGGAGAACACACGGAUCUCCGCUUGCUCAUGUGGCUCCCUUGUGAGCAAAGCCCGAUUCACAGGAUUGUGCCUACGCUUUGCGGAUGAGUUUGAAGUGUCUGUGGAGGAUUGGAAGCCAAGUGAUGCCACUACUACAAACCUGUGUGUGGUGUCUGAGGGCACUUACGAGAUCUGCUCCCGCACUAUUGCAGCCCAAGCUGGCAGCAAUGCCAAGUGGAUUCUGAAUGUCCAGUGGCAAAUGGAAGGUGUGGACAUUCAUGUUGAUGUGGGCAUCAGCAAGGCUCUGUCAGCUUUGUUCCGCACACUCACUGCCCUGACGGGAGAAGGUGACGAGGGUGAAAGCCCCGAGGAGCAAGCCCGUACAGCACAGGAACCAGUGACCCUGAGACAUGCCUGCUUGCUGCUGGACCCCAGUGUGGAUGCCAAGAAGCGUUCCAGGCUGAUUGAGAAAGAGAUGAAUGAGCAGGCCAAGAUCAUCAGCGACCUGCGCUUCUUGGGUGCCAGCCAGAGCACCAUUGAGCAAGAGGAGAGGCGGCUCAAGGAGCUCGAGACGGCCGUCUUCAACGACUUCCGCCGAGAUGUGAUCAAGAAGCUACGCAGGCAGAGUGUCAAGGCAGCAUCCAUCAAGGACAAGCUUGGUCUGGGCACUGUGUCCCGGUUGCCUGCCGACACACCCGAGGAAGAGGCCCGAAUGGCCAACCACCUGGAGCAUGCGACGCCGCCAUCGUCUGGUGGAGGAGUUCCCGUCUCCCCAACCAAGGAUGGUGGCACACACAUACGCACUGCCUCAUUCGACAUGUCAGACUUGCCAGCCACCCCAAGGCGGCCCAUGUCACUGGUGCACAGGGAGCUCUCGCUUGACAGCGUCUUCUCACAGACAACUGCUAGUGUGACCAAUAGUGGAGCGCCAACCCCCACUAGUGAGCCCUCAGAGCCUGCCCUAAGCCCACAGGAUGACAUUUUGCCCCCACCGGUCGCUGAGGCACGUGCAGGCCACACCACGCCUGUGCCUUCGAAGCAGCAGCAGCAGGUGGAGCCCAGCAUUGACUUUGAGCUGGACAUUAAGGUGUUCUUCAACAGUGGCAAGUGUGUGCUGCACACCAGGGACCAUGAGGAGGAGACCAUCAAAAUGAGCCGUCCUAUGCGCAAGGAGCGCAGCUUCUCUGGAGGCCUUCCAGAUGGCGGCUCUCCGACGAGACGUCGCAGUGGCCCUCGCAGCCAUCCUUCAUCCUCUCGCAUGCGCUUCCCCCCUGUGGCUUCAGCCACUCCCAGCCAGGUGACAACGGACUUCACAGUGUUUCUGGUGCCAGGCCUAGAUGUGAAGGUGCACUACAAUUCAUGGACCAUGGGAGGGGAGAGUCCAGUUGAUCCACCUGCUCGCAAAGGGGGCACAAAAAAGGCCACACUAUUUGCUUGGAUAACACUGCAAAGCAUCCCAGAGGAAACAGUGAUAAGCCCACACAUCCUGGACUUCCUGGAACAAGCACUUGAAGCCAUACCCAUGCAGCAGGCUGCAAAAGCAUCACCUGUGGCAUCAGUUGAUGGAGGCCUGGUACUAGAAGAGAGCCAGUAUGGCUCUUUUCCGGUGGACGUCAUUGUCUACUUCCGCAUGCAGCCAUCCAUCUUGCGCUUCAGCUGCUUGCCUGUGUCGCGAGUAGAAUGCCUGUUGCGGCUUCCCUCGGUUGACCUGGCCUUCUCGUCCAAACGGGCCGAUGAGGGGCCAGUGGGUGGCCUGUCAGCCACGGGUUGCCUGGCCGACUUCUCCCUCUACAUUUUCCACCCAUAUGGUGGAGCCAAAAAGAUGGCUGCCACAGCUGACGCUUCCCCACUGGCUGUCACAGAGCGCAAGGACUCAUUGUCACUGCAAGUGGAGUUUGUCAAGGUCAACAUGAGCCGUAGCCGUCACAUUGGUGUGGACAAUGGCCGAGCCUUGAUCCGUUUCUCAGCGCUGUGUGAUGUUGGCUCUGCCUCAUUUAAGUAUGACAUGAGACGUCUGACAGAGAUUCUAGCUUUCCCCAAAGCCUGGUAUCGACGUAGCAUUGCUCGCCGCAUGUUCCUAGGAGACCCCGCCACUGCAGGCUCAGCUUUUGGUGACCAAGCCGAAGACUCAGCCGAAACAAGUAGCAGCAGUGGAACCCUGUCCCCAAGUCGGGCUGAUUCAUUCCCCUUUGGAAGCUUGGAGCUUGGCUCACCUGAAGAGGAAGCAGCUCCCUUUCCUGAAGAACGGCCAGCACCUCCCAGGGGUCAAGCAUGGGAGACACUUCUGCUGUAUGCUUUGAACCUGUCCCGUCUUAAUGUUCACAUGAACAUGGGCAACGUUAUGGGCAAUACUUCGUGGCUGACGCAAGGCUUCAGGUCCCAGGGUCGCCUGGCGAUUGACAGUCGUGGCCACAAGGACCUGAAUUUGGCAGUGGACCUUGAUGGCUCUAGCCUUGAUGCCAAAGGAGGCAUUGUUGGUGGGGCCAUCGAGCUUAGCCGUAUUCACACACACAUGGGCCUGCAGGAAAGCUGGGGCCGUGAGCCAGUGCAUACAUUGACGCUGGCACUGUGGGCAGCUGAGAGUCGGCUCGACUACAUGGGCAGCAGUGUGCUCAUGGGCCGGGUCUCCCAGCUCACUGUGGAGCUGCGGGAUGAGUGGCGGCUCUGUGAAGGCUGUGAGGCUACCAAGCGACCGGCACUGCUGUUUGUCCAUGGCCAGGUGCACUGGGAUCAACUGCAGUUGCUUAUCUCCAAGUCAACCACACCCGACCUGGCUAAGAUGGGUGCCAAGCUGGAGGAGUUCUUCUCCCAGCAGUUCCACAGUAGUAGACGUGUGUUCUCGUCCAUGCGGCUGGCUGGGCCUCGACCACGUCGUGCCGACCGCAUGGGUGGAGGAGGAGAGGAGAGCCGGCAUGCCAAUCAGCGACACUGGCAAGGGGCCCUAGCACUGGUCUCAGGCCUGCAGCUGGGCUGGGGUCUACGCCUGCCCCUGCACGGCACCUUGGUGGGCGGGAGCAUGGACCUGCGAGGUGGGAACGUCUCACUCGCCUGUUUUCACGGCGUCAGCUUUCGAUCCAAGGCCUGGGCCCUGUUCAGCCUUCGGCAGCCCAGCAUACACUUUGCCACUGAGGCCCAGGAUGUGCUUGGCCCGCAGGCGGCUGUGGACACACAUGUCGUGCAGCACCUGACUUUUCGUCUGGGUCAUGCGGCCGGAUCUUCGGGCAGCACUGGCAGUAUGGCCACCGUGUGCCGCAUCAGUCGCAAUGUCCUCUUCCCACCGCAGUUCAAGAGUGUGAGCGAGUGGUUCCAGUAUGCAUUUGCCAGUAGUGAGCUGGAUGACGUGGGUCGCUUCCCUGUGUUUGAAGGACGACCCACACCACCACGCCCACCCGAGGCUGGCCACACAAUGGAGAUGAUCUUUGCCUUCCCCAGCCUUGAGCUGCACAUGAAGACAGAGCAGCUGCAGGGCGAGCACAGUCCGGGACCUGACGAUUCCAGACCAGUGGUGGAGUGCAGCUUUGUCACUGAGUUUGACGACCAUAUCUUUGUGGCUGUGGAUGCAGAAGCUUUCUUUUUCCUGCACAACCUGAUCGUGUCGUACAUCCGAGAAAAAGACGGUGGUGGGGCAGCCAAAAGCCAGUCACCAGAAAGUGAGCGGCGAAAGCGAAGUGUAGCAGAGUCGUUGGAGUCCCUGCAUCGAGACUUCCGCGACUACCAGUGCUACACCUGGCACCUUGAGCCCACUGUGCGCCUUCUAUCAUGGGCGGGCAAGGGCAUUGAACCUUAUGGCGUGGACUACAUUUUGCACAAGCUGGGAUUUUCACAUGCUCGUGUUACUAUACCAAAGUGGCUGCAGCGAGGAUGCAUGGACCCCCUGGACCUGUUCCUGUCGCUCAUGCUAGAGCGCAUGCUUAAGGCUGUGCGACAGCACUGAUAUACUGUCCAGUGGAUAUUGCUGCAGCUUAGGCUAAUGAGCAAUGAUUGUGAUUUAUUGAGUCAUGGUUGUGCAGCAACUUUAAGUUAAACUUGGCUUUUUGCAUAAAUGAAACAUGCAAGAAGCAAAUUUAUCUAGAAUUUGUUGUAUAUUGUUAGACUUUCAGUGAUUGUUUGGUUUGCAUUGUGCUCGGUAUGCACACUGAUUUGUUGAUAUUAUUUACAGUAUAAUGAAUGAACUGAAAUAGAUGGCAAAAUGACAAAUGUGUCAGUGUUUGUUAUAAUCAAGCAGUGAGCAGUUAAGUUUGCCUUGCUCACUUAGACACCACACCUAAGAUUUGUGCACCAUAAAGGCAAUCUUAGUAUUGUAUAAAGUACCUUGUGGCAUCCUGCUCUACAGCAGUGAAAAAUUCUUGGUAUGUUGCAUGUAUGGAAGCAAGCAUGGAAUGCUUUUUCAUAUUUCAUCAUAAGGAUACAAGUUUUGUUCUACUACUAGUGCUCCCAUAUGUCGAACAGCAUAAGGCAUGCGUCACAGGUUGCCUCACAGAACAAUUGCCCGUGCCCUUGUACAGCAGUCCUGUAGUGUCUUCUUCAGAGCAUCCAGUCUACGCACCGGACGGGCCCCUUGGAUCACAAGCCAACAGAUCGCCAACAGCAUCAAGCGAAGAUGAUAAAAGGUGCGGUGCGCUCGAACUGCUCUUCAGUGGGCUCGGAAACGCAACUGCGAUGGGCUUCGCUCUAACUCAUCGCCUUUUUGCCGUGCAGCAAAAGCUAGUGUCACGAUCCUCCUGGGUUCAUGAACAAGGGAGGGCUCGAGGCACCCUCCGUUAGAUGGACGCUCCGCAGUGUGGUGGUGCUGAACAAUGACUGACCGCCGAGCAGCUGUGCUCGCCAGUGUUUAUUGGUGCGGUGACCAAUGUUGCCUAACUGAGCCUGGCAGGCCACCGAGCCUGGCGGGCCAACGAAGAUUAUGCCCGAGGUGGCGUCGCAUGCUUGUUACAGCUAGGCUUUAAGGAAAAGUUUAGUGCACUCAAGACGAACAAGAACGUAGAAAAGACAACACAGCUCAGAUGUCGAUCCUUCUGAAGCUAGGAUUUUUUUGCAUCACUAAGUUUAAUCCCAUGAGGAGACGCAUGGUUGUAUCCAAAACAUUUUUUAUUAAAAUUCAAGCAUCA